Molecule: ribosomal RNA, 2148 nt
Filed under: Euglena cantabrica
Lineage: Eukaryota; Euglenozoa; Euglenophyceae; Euglenales; Euglenaceae
Description: 16S ribosomal RNA
Rfam family: Bacterial small subunit ribosomal RNA (bases 1133-2148)
Source: RNAcentral
CGGCAUGCCUAACACAUGCAAGUCAAACGGUUUCCGGAAGGGGCAGUGACGGACGGGUGAGUAACAUGUAAGAAUCAACACCUAGGAGAGGGACAACAAGUGGAAACGUUUGCUAAUACCUCGUGAUGCUAUUAAGUUAAAAAUUAAUUUGCCUAGGUAUGAGCUUGCACCUGAUUAGCUAGUUGGUGGGGUAAUGGCUCACCAAGGCUUUGAUCAGUAGCUGGUUUGAGAGGAUGAUCAGCCACACGGGAAUUGAGAACGGGACCGACUCCUACGGGAGGCAGCAGUGAGGAAUUUUCCGCAAUGAGUGAAAGCUUGACGGAGCAAUGCCGCGUGGAGGAAGAAUGCCUUAGGGUUGUAAUCUCCUUUUCUCAUCGAAGAAGUUCUGACGGUAUUUGAGGAAUAAGCAUCGGCUAACUCCGUGCCAGCAGCGUGUGACAAGAGGUGUUUGAAAUCUGUGUAUAGGUUUUAACCAUACCGGUGGGAUAUGUCACCCUCGUAUAUCUAUUUCGUUUAAGAUUGAGUAGUAUCGAGAAAUUAACUUUAUAAAUUAAAUCUCAGGUAGAGAGAUCCUCACCUAACCCAACGAUGUAAAGUUUAAUAAUAAACCGAUGUUGUAAGCUGGGUUAAAGAAACAGGAUGGAAAUCGUACAUUCUCAUAAGGUGAUGUUAUUUGAAUCAGACUAGAAAUUGAUUUUUAUCUAGCGAAUCUACACAUAAAGUACCGAAUCACAAAGUCCGUAGUUACGAUCUAAUCCGCAGGGAAAAUACGGGCGUUAUAAUACGGCGGCACAUCUGCGUCUUUGACAUUACUGCGUGUCAAAACUACUAGCAAGCUGCAGGUACAGAGUAGAGGUCUGACGAGAAGCUAUACUAUAUAAGGUUGGAACUUGGAAAAGCCGAAUUCGUGCUGCAUAAGUGCAGAAUAAUUAUUUAAAGAAUUUGGAAUAAGAUAAGAGAAAAAGCUAAAGCCAAAUGGAAACCUUUGGAUAUGCAGAAAUCUCUUACGGAGGGCCUUAAAAAUAAUAAAACGGGUCUUGGGAAAAGUGAUUACUAGAUUAACAAGAGAAUUUACUUAUAUAUAUAUAUAUAUCCCUGCUCCGAGUAGCCGUAUGAGUAGUGAUGCUCACGUACGGUUUCGAAUGAGAAGCGAUCAGGGCGAUCUGACGUUGACUCUCUAAUCGCGGUAAUACGGGGGAUGCAAGCGUUAUCCGGAAUUAUUGGGCGUAAAGGGUUUGUAGGUGGUCAAGUGUGUUUAAUGUUAAAUAUUAGAGCUUAACUUUAAGGUUGCAUUAAAAACUACUAGACUUGAGUAUGAUAGGGGUAAAGGGAAUUUCCAGUGUAGCGGUGAAAUGCGUAGAUAUUGGAAAGAACACCAACAGCGAAGGCACUUUACUAGGUUAAUACUGACACUGAGAAACGAAAGCUAAGGUAGCAAAAAGGAUUAGAUACCCUCGUAGUCUUAGCUGUAAACGAUGGAUACUAAGUGGUGCUCUUGGUACUACUGUAGCUAACGCGUUAAGUAUCCCGCCUGGGGAGUACGCUUGCAAAAGUGAAACUCAAAGGAAUUGACGGGGACCCGCACAAGCGGUGGAGCAUGUGGUUUAAUUCGAUGCAACGCGAAGCACCUUACCAGGAUUUGACAUGCUAGGAAGUUUUUUGAAAGAAAGAUGUGCCUUUUGGAACCUAGACACAGGUGGUGCAUGGCUGUCGUCAGCUCGUGUCGUGAGAUGUUUGGUUAAGUCCGCCAACGAGCGCAACCCUCUUUUUUAGUUAUUUAGUCUAAAAAGACUGCCGAUUAUAAGUCGGAGGAAGGUGGGGACGAGGUCAAGUCCUCAUGCCCCUUAUAUCCUGGGCUACACACGUGCUACAAUGGUUAAGACAAUGAGUUGCAAGUCUGUGAAGCCAAGCUAAUCUCUUAAACUUAAUCUUAGUUCGGAUUGUAGGCUGAAACUCGCCUACAUGAAGCUGGAAUCGCUAGUAAUCGCUGGUCAGCUAUACAGCGGUGAAUACGUUCUCGGGUCUUGUACACACCGCCCGUCACACCAUGGGAGCUGGCCAUGCCUAAUGUUGUUAUCCUAACUUUAGCAAUAAAGAAGGAAAUACCUAAGGCCGGGUUGGUGACUGGGGUGAAGUCGUAACAAGGUA